Molecule: long non-coding RNA, 1116 nt
Filed under: Mus spicilegus (steppe mouse)
Lineage: Eukaryota; Metazoa; Chordata; Mammalia; Rodentia; Muridae
Description: lncRNA (ENSMSIG00000009112.1)
Source: RNAcentral
CUUAGAUGACUAAAAAAACCUUGCAAGCGCUGAGUGGCCCUGAUCCUCCUUCAACCCUCGCUGCCCUUAAGGGGAACCCCCCGACACACACACCCAAGAGGGAAAUUCAGCAGCCUGCCAGAACAGGAAAAGGUGGCCUGGGCAGCGGUCCCGCGCCGCACACACCCCUCGCUCAGGCCUGCCUCGCCCGCCGUGCCUCGAACGAGCUAAGGCGCUCCGGUACCCGCCUCCCCCGGGGAUCCGCCGCGCCCCACGGGCUGAAAGGGAUUCCCCCCCAACAACGGGGCGUGGAGGGCGGCGAGCCCGCGUGGACGGACGCUCCAGGCCCGGAAGGGCGGGCGGGCGGUGCGGCUGGCACACACGGACGCGGUUCUCCCAGGCCCCGCAGUGCGCCAGGCUCCAGCUCAGCCGAGGACCAAACGCGGCGGGGGACCGCGGGGGCGCGGCGCGGCCUCCGCCGGUGCACGAGGGCCCGCAGCGUGCUCCGCGCAGCAGCCCGGCAGACGCAGGCGCCGCGCGGCCGUCCGCAUUGUUCAGCCUGCCGCGCGCGCCCCGGAGGAGCCUGGUCCUGUGGCCUCGAGCCCCGCAGGCGCGGAGGGAACGGUCGCCCCGCCGCCGCUACCGCUACCGCUGCCACUGCCGCCGCCGCCGCCGCUGCGGCGCCCGUGCAGGUGGCGAGCGGCGCCCUCACCUUUGGCGCCGAGCUUGAAGUCGAGCGUGCUGUGUCUUGCUGCUGCCAUAGUGUGGCGAGGCCCUGUGCCAUGCCUGGGGAGGCGACCGCAGGAGACUGAGGGACCGCGCGGCGUGUCAGGCUGCGGGCCGGCGGGGAGUGCGCUGCGCCGGGGGAGGCCAGGAGUUAGGAGGUGGGAGGGGCCGCGGGCAAGCGACCCGGGGCGCGGGGGCGGGGCCGACCCGCCUCUUAGAGGAGGAAGCAGGGACGCCUCCAGCCCCGAACUUGAAGCGCUGGGUGUGAGGCCUCGCUAAUGGUGGAAUCGCGGGCGCCGGGCUCCCUGGCAUGCGUCACCAAUGGCCGCGCCCUGCGCUAAAGCUCUGGCCAUGCUCUCCCGCCAUUCGCCAUCCGUUAGGAGGUCACCCAGCUUUAAACGGCUCAGCGCG